RNAcentral lists this non-coding RNA (26 nucleotides) under Rattus norvegicus (Norway rat). The record is from RNAcentral. Lineage: Eukaryota; Metazoa; Chordata; Mammalia; Rodentia; Muridae.
CAGAGAAACGAUGACCCCAGAAACAU